AUUGAACGCUGGCGGCAUGCCUUACACAUGCAAGUCGAACGGCAGCGGGGGAGAAGCUUGCUUUUCCUGCCGGCGAGUGGCGAACGGGUGAGUAAUACAUCGGAACGUGCCCUGUAGUGGGGGAUAACUAGUCGAAAGAUUAGCUAAUACCGCAUACGACCUGAGGGUGAAAGUGGGGGACCGCAAGGCCUCAUGCUAUAGGAGCGGCCGAUGUCGGAUUAGCUAGUUGGUGGGGUAAAGGCCUACCAAGGCGACGAUCAGUAGCUGGUGUGGGAGGAAGAUCAGCCACACUGGGACUGAGACACGGCCCAGACUCCUACGGGAGGCAGCAGUGGGGAAUUUUGGACAAUGGGCGAAAGCCUGAUCCAGCAAUGCCGCGUGUGUGAAGAAGGCCUUCGGGUUGUAAAGCACUUUUGUCCGGAAAGAAAUGGCUCUGGUUAAUACCUGGGGUCGAUGACGGUACCGGAAGUAUAAGGACCGGCUAACUACGUGCCAGCCGCCGCGGUAA
RNAcentral lists this ribosomal RNA (508 nucleotides) under uncultured bacterium. Its description in RNAcentral is "partial 16S ribosomal RNA". It matches the Rfam family "Bacterial small subunit ribosomal RNA", at positions 30 to 523 of the family's 1533-position model. The record is from RNAcentral.